UACGUAGGGGGCUAGCGUUGUCCGGAAUCAUUGGGCGUAAAGCGCGUGUAGGCGGUCCGGUAAGUCCGCUGUGAAAGUCGAGGGCUCAACCCUCGAAUGCCGGUGGAUACUGUCGGGCUCGAGUACGGGAGAGGCGAGUGGAAUUCCUGGUGUAGCGGUGAAAUGCGCAGAUAUCAGGAGGAACACCAAUAGCGAAGGCAGCUCGCUGGGACGUUACUGACACUGAGGCGCGAAAGCGUGGGGAGCGAACAGG
RNAcentral lists this ribosomal RNA (253 nucleotides) under uncultured bacterium. RNAcentral describes it as "partial 16S ribosomal RNA". It matches the Rfam family "Bacterial small subunit ribosomal RNA", at positions 524 to 776 of the family's 1533-position model. The record is from RNAcentral.